GAGAUAUUAGAAAAAUUAUUUCAUAGCUUUGUCAAAGCUAAAUUAUAGGAUAUGUCCUAUAUAUCUUA
Molecule: transfer RNA, 68 nt
Filed under: Trachypithecus phayrei (Phayre's leaf monkey)
Lineage: Eukaryota; Metazoa; Chordata; Mammalia; Primates; Cercopithecidae
Description: tRNA-Asp
Source: RNAcentral